UAGUCCACGCCGUAAACGAUGUCAACUAGCCGUUGGGGGAAUUUAAUCCUUUAGUGGUGCAGCUAACGCAUUAAGUUGACCGCCUGGGGAGUACGCGCGCAAGCGUAAAACUCAAAGGAAUUGACGGGGCCCGCACAAGCGGUGGAGCAUGUGGUUUAAUUCGAUGCAACGCGAAGAACCUUACCAGCCCUUGACAUCCUGCGAACUUUCUAGAGAUAGAUUGGUGCCUUCGGGAACGCAGUGACAGGUGCUGCAUGGCUGUCGUCAGCUCGUGUCGUGAGAUGUGGGUUAAGUCCCGCAACGAGCGCAACCCUUGUCCUUAGUUGCCAGCACGUAAUGGUGGGAACUCUAAGGAGACUGCCGGUGACAAACCGGAGGAAGGUGGGGAUGACGUCAAGUCAUCAUGGGCCCUUAUGGGGCUGGGGCUACACACGUGCUACAAUGGCAAGUACAGAGGGUCG
Molecule: ribosomal RNA, 461 nt
Filed under: uncultured bacterium
Lineage: Bacteria
Description: bacterial SSU rRNA
Rfam family: Bacterial small subunit ribosomal RNA
Source: RNAcentral